RNAcentral lists this unclassified non-coding RNA (408 nucleotides) under Hevea brasiliensis (rubber tree). Lineage: Eukaryota; Viridiplantae; Streptophyta; Magnoliopsida; Malpighiales; Euphorbiaceae. The record is from RNAcentral.
UGCACAACUGUGGUACAUCAUCAGAGAAUAUAUUUCUAACUCUGAGGAACGUGACAUAGAUCCAGCAGAUCUGAUUUCCUUUCUGCUAGAGCUUAGUUUUCAUAUCACUGGUGAGGCAUAUAAUAUGAAUACAUUGACUGAGAUCCAGAGGCAUAUGAUAAAGGACCUUGCAGACUUGGGAUUGAUUAAACUUCAGCAGGGCAGGAAAGAGAGUUGGUUUAUACCUACUAAAUUAGCAACCAAUCUUUCAGUAAGCUUGACAGAUUCAUCAUCACGAAAACAGGGAUUUGUUGUUGUGGAAACAAACUUUAGGUUGUAUGCUUAUUCAUCAUCUAAGCUGCAUUGUGAAAUUCUGCGUCUUUUCUCAAGGAUAGAGUAUCAACUUCCAAACCUUUUUGUUGGAGCCAG